RNAcentral lists this unclassified non-coding RNA (255 nucleotides) under uncultured fungus. RNAcentral's name for it is "sequence contains ITS2". The stretch from base 1 to 52 matches the Rfam family "5.8S ribosomal RNA", at positions 103 to 154 of the family's 154-position model. The record is from RNAcentral. Lineage: Eukaryota; Fungi.
AACGCAUAUUGCGCCCUUUGGUAUUCCGAAGGGCAUGCCUGUUCGAGCGUCAUUAUCAACGAUCAAGCCUGGCUUAUUGUUGGACUCUGCUGCUGAAACAUGUGGCAGGUCCGAAAAUUAAUGACGGUGUCGUGUUUGACCCUAGAUGCAACGAGCUUUUUAUAGCACGCAUUGAAGUGGUCGACCGGCCUGGUCUUAACCAUCAAAAUUUCUAAGGUUGACCUCGGAUCAGGUAGGAAUACCCGCUGAACUUAA